AUGGCGGGCCGCGACGGAUUCGAGGACGACGACUUCAACCUCCCUUUGUCGUCGCCACCGCGUCGUCCGUCGCUGCCGCCGGAGAAGGAGGAGGCCGGACCCGGACCCAUGGCUGGCCGCGACGGAUUCGAGGACGACGACGUCAACCGCCUGCAGUCGCCGCCACCGCGUCGUCCAUCGCCGCCUUCGAAGAAGGAGGAGGCCGGACCCAUGGCGGGCCAAGACGGAUUCGAGGACGGCGACGUCAACCGCCCACAUUCGUCGCCCCCGCGACGUCCAUGGCCGCUGUCGGAGAAGGAGGAGGCCGGACCCAUGGCGGGCCGCAACGACUUCGAGGACGACGACGUCAACCCCUUCGCCGGAGGAAGCGUUCCCCCUGCCCCCAGUUCUCGGCUCUCACCUCUCUCCCACGAGCCAGCGGGUUUUUAUAAUGUGGACAUUCCUAUGGAUUCAACUAAGAUUCCUUCGUGGACAGAGUCAGCAGGCGGCGGGGCAACCGAAGUUCGUCUCUACAAGAGAUCAUCCUAUGGAUCGGCGCUGAUUCAAAUAGCAGCUCUUGCCCCUGUUGCACCACCCCGAGCUGUGGAGGGCGGCUCCGAUGACCCCGACCAAGAGUUCGCCGGCGAGCCUGCUUUGUAUCUGGCAGUGGUCCAAGACGGCCACACCAUCGACAUCGCGCGGCUGCUAUUCCACGGCGGCGAGCCUGCGCUGGAAGUGGACAUGGCCGAGGACUACUAUGCAGCGGCGGAAUUCAGUUCCAGCGAAGGCGACCAGUCCCUCCCCCUCGACGACUAUGGGAUGGUGAAAUCCAGCUCCAGCGAAGAUGACUGGGCCCUCCCAUCACUAGGUGGUGCUAUGUCCUUUUUGGGAAGGCUGGGGUGCAAGGAGUACUCGGGGAUUGGGGAUGGGGACUGGGACUGGGACAGGGAUGAGGAUGAUGAGGAUGAGGACGAGGAUAUGGAUGCGGAUGAGGAAAAGGAUGAGACUGGGAAUGUGGAUGGGGUGGAUGUGGAUGUAGCAGUUUCUGGAGGUUAUGAUAGUGGAGGUGAUUGCAAGGAGGGUGAUGGAGAGGAGGAGGAACAUGGGGAUACUCACCAAGAUACAAUUAAGCUUCGAGUUUGGCCAGCACAGAAGCACCUGCUGCUUAAAUUUUUUAGUGGCAAGCAAUGGAAAUUAACAAAAGCCUAUCGUAUAAUCUGGCUAAACCGUGAUGAACUGGAAGAGCUCUGCAAAUUCUCUUUCAAAAUUGAUGCUACUGCUCCUGAUCCUUUUUCUACAAGCAGCGUUUUCAGAAAUGUGAACAGUUCAAUUGAUUUUGAAACGAACAAUGUUCCUUCUGCAAUUUUUGAUGAUUUUGUAGCUUUUUUGAAACCGUCAAUCAACACUUUCAAAGUCUGUAAAGAACUUGGCGAAGGCAAUGAUUGCAAGAUUUUUAAGUGCCUUGUUUCGGGUAGUAAAUGUGCUGUUAAGUGUAUCCCUUUGCAUCCAUCUUGCAUCGAAGAGCCUAGGGAGGUUAAUAUCAUUUCAAGUUUAAGGAAUGGGCGCAUUAUGAUGCUUUAUCAGUCCUGGAUAGAGCCAUGGAACUACAAAAGGCAUCCUCGACAAGAAGAUUACCUGUUUCUCCAUCUAGAGCUCUGCUCAAGCACAUUGGCGAAUGCACUUUUGCCUGAAAAGUUUGACACAAUUCCGGAUAGGUGGAAACUUUUCGAAGAGAUAGUAAGAGGUGUCGAAACACUGCAUAAUGAAUUUAUUGUGCACCGGGAUCUCAAGCCAGAUAACAUAUUUCCUGGCCAUGAUCAUGAAGUCCGAAUUGGAGACUUCGGAGAUGCCUGUUGUGGCCAAGAUGAAUUCGGAAAAUAUGGUGGUACGCCUAACUGCGGGACAAAAAGUUAUUUGGCGCCAGAGCUAGACAGUGGUGAGAAGAUAACCGAGAAGGUGUUAUACUCAGUUGGUGUAAUGUUUUUUGAGCUGCUGACACCUUUUACUACUGGACUUGGGAGAAUGAAAGCAUUUGAGAAGCUGCGAGAUGAAGGGCCUCCGGAUGGCUGGAAGGGUGACCAUGAGGGCGACCGCGAAUUCUAUGGUAGAAUGACUGCUUUGGUACCUGCUGACCGGCCUUCGGCGGAUGGUUUAUUUUUGCGCUCACAAUAA
Molecule: ribosomal RNA, 2151 nt
Filed under: Triticum aestivum (bread wheat)
Lineage: Eukaryota; Viridiplantae; Streptophyta; Magnoliopsida; Poales; Poaceae
Description: partial small subunit ribosomal RNA
Source: RNAcentral